GGGCGGGUAGCUCAGCUGGAUAGAGCGUUGGCCUCCGGAGCCAAAGGUCGUGGGUUCGAAUCCCGUCUCGCUCGCCA
Molecule: transfer RNA, 77 nt
Filed under: bacterium
Lineage: Bacteria
Description: tRNA-Arg
Rfam family: tRNA
About the family: Transfer RNA (tRNA) molecules are approximately 80 nucleotides in length. Their secondary structure includes four short double-helical elements and three loops (D, anti-codon, and T loops).
Source: RNAcentral